UUAUUAUUAUUAUUAUUAACUAGAGCCAAACGCUCGCUCUGCACCGCGACCUCCAUUCCGGGCGCUGACGGCGGGGGAGUCACAAUUUUUCUUUCCCCUCGCCGAAACGCCUCUCAAUGCGCUUCUCGCGUCGUCGUAACUCCGUGACCGUUCUUGCGUGAAGUGCACGGAGGAGGGCGAACGACAAGAGAGGUGACAUCGCCAAUUGUCGCAGCUUCUCUCGCACGCACACAAGAACGAAAUGUUGGCGCAACCCCGUCAGGCCCUUCCGCACUUUCGCCGAGUAGCGGAAGGGAGAACGGGAGGGCUAUACGGGAGAGCGGAAGAGAAAAAGACAGCGGCGCGCUACCGGAAGUGGAAACGCGCCGGUUGCGAAGCGACGUGCCCCUCUCCUUCCUUCGCUAUAUCGACUCAGGUUCUCGGAAGAAAGAAGCAAACGCAUCUGGCGGUGACGCAACCGGCACCACGUGGUGACGUAACCGCCAGUUCCUGGGCGUGGUGUACGUCCGUCACACGGCGGAGGUCGUCCUUGCAGACGUAGUUGGCUCGAGAAGAGCGCUCUCAUGCCAUCUGCGGAAGAGAUCGAGUUCACCGUCUAGAAGGGUUCCAAGUGUGCCACAAGGGUGUACGCUUAUAAGUGACACUUAAAUGACACAAUAGGCGACGAAGUACGGACAGCCCUGCUCCUUGUUGUUGCCUUCUGCAGUCCACGGACACGAGGUCGCCGGUUCGCCUCCCGGCCGCAGCGACCGCACUGUGACGAGAGCCGGAACGCAAAAACGCUCCACUGCUUAGACUUCGGACAUGGUAAAAAUUAAUCCAGAGCUUCGUCUAUCGUCUACCAUGAGUCAGAAGUUGCUAUCUUGCGCUGUUUAACCAUGCACCCUUCUUGUGGGUUCAAACGGGUAGCUCCUUGGGCUGGUUAGUAAAGCAUUCUUUAGACCAAAAAAAGAAAAAAAAGAAAAAUCCCUUUUAGUGCGAAAUGCGUAUGAAGUUAAAAAGAAGUCGACAGGACAGAGCGCACAAGUGUUUCUGGCGGGUCCUCUGGAGGGUGAGCACAUAUGGGCCGAGGGUAUGACAACUUAGCGAUCACACAAAUAAAUACUGAAACCACGAAGAUCCUCCGCCCAACGUCUUCGCUUUCUUCUUCGUUCUUUCCUUUUCUCGCUUUUGCUAGAUUUAUUAGUGCGCUAACGGAGGGUGUGGUCCACGGAGCGCACACCAUCAGCCGAAUUUAGUAUACAGGGCAGCUCAAAGGCGGUCCUCGGCGAUCGACAAUGGUCCCGUACCCUUUCUGACGGCAGAGUGCGACACGACGAGUUGUUGCUGGGCGAUAACUCCCGGCAUACUUUCGCGGAGCGCUCCACAUCAGCGCGCGGCUGCUCAGUGCAUGGGCUACGCAGGACAGGCCGUUAUGCCACUGAUGGGGUUCAACGUCCCGGAGUAACACUGUCGCCGUGAGAGACGAACGGUGUUCUUCAACGUGCACCUGUAGGUAGCGGUACACGAGCGCGAUAUAUCGCAUUUCAGCCCCGUCCGAAUGCAAACUUCCGUCGGAGGUCGAACACGCGACCUCGUGCUCGGCAGCAGAAUGCCACAACCAUCCGGGCCGCUUCGGCGGGAGCCAAUGCCCUUUUUCGUGGCUCACGCGAAAACUACCUUCUUGCUUCUCUCCCUCACUUCACCGCAUUUAGCGAGUGGCGCUGAUGUUCCGCGCGAUACGGUGCACUUAUUUUGCCGGGGUGCGCACAACGGAGGCGGAAAGCGGCGACUGUUCGGCGCACGCCACUUGUCAUGCAGGCGAUACUGCAGUGCCGCGGAGGUUCGUGCGAUGCAUACAACGCGCGCCUGCAGUGCCGCGGUUCCCACGAUACGAGGACGGCCGCGCGUUUCGUUCACGCUGGCCGUGCCAAGCUCGCCAGGGUGGUACCACCUCAGCGGGCUUUUAAUUCUCCUUUCCGGAGCGAGAAAAAUAAGAAACGCUAGAUAAGCUUUUUCUUCGUCAUUCCCUUCAAACCUGCCGUAACGUUAAAAUUGGAUCGCCGUUCACGUGCCCUCUUAUCGCUUCGGAACGCUCAUUUGCUUAAAACGCUCUUCUUUCUGUUCACUUUAGUCUUGCCCAGUCGCUUUAAUUUCUGCCUCGGCAGUGUAUACCGUCCAACGUGGCCCCACUGUAGAGGCGAAACCUGGCAUCUAUACCAAUCGGGGCCCCUGCAGAAAGCAACUCCGUACAGUACGGUAUAGGUGAAUCCAGGCAGACAGGCGUGCUUUUCCACAACCGUUCCGGCCACUUGCCGGCCUUCGCGACGUGUUAAAUAGCAUACAGCUUAUAUCCGCUCGCCUCCACCUUCAGGAACACAACACUUUCAAAAUUACCACCGAACAAGCGUCGUCCCGGCAGCUGGGAGGAGUGUAUAGACCAAUCCCCCGCGGCGAAUUCCGUUCUCGGACGGCGCAAAAAAAAAAAAAAAAGAAAAAAAAAGUAGUUCUGCCUCUUUCACAGUGGUCUGUUAAGAGAAGCGCGUGCACAUUGCGAGAGUUUUCGAAACGGCCAGGGUACUCGCUGGUUGGGCGCUCAUGUUUAUUUACUUGUUUAUAUACUUACUAAAAAAACGAAGAAAGCAAAAAGAAAUUUACCCUAUGCUAUGCCGCGACAUCAUCAUCACGAAGGCAUUUUAUCUGUACCCUUUCGUUUUCUAAUCACGGAGGAAGACCUACAUCGCGCUAUGGAUAACCAUAGUGCCCCAACAUGUCACUAUACCAGGGUAUCGUACACAUCAUCCAGUAUACGCUCACCCUCAGUGGUCUCGGGUUCGAAGUCGACGGGGGCCGAAUGCAACACGCUCGCGUGCCGAUGUUUGGGUAAAGUACGCCGACUCUCGUAACCCCUGCCUUGUAACGUUAUACCCAUCAAUCAAUCCCCUAUACUCGGUUAUGCUGAAAUUCCUCUAUAGCUAUACCGUGGCCGUUUUACCGGAGUAAUUCGGCAGUGGGUGGUAUAAACAAAAAGCGUGAAACUAAAUUCCGCUCCUGCGCUAAAUUUAAACAGGAACGAACCGACCUUUUAGCAGCCGAAGCCACGUAUCCACAAAUACCAUCCGUGAGCCGAGAAGCACUCGGGCGAACGGCGUAAAGCUGUGUAUUCCCGGGACUGACGGCUGGUCCAUUUUUCUUUUUUCAACAAGCAGCCGUCCAGCCGUCGUCCCCUCGACGCGGGUUUUUCUCUUUUUUUUUUUUUUUUUUUUUUUUAUGCAUGAACAUAGCGCCCUCGCAGACCGCUUUAAAAUAGUCGACGGCCACGGGAGUCGGGGUUCUCCUCGGACCGCGCGGUUGCCGCCAUUGCGGAACUCAUAAAGGGGCCCGUCAAAGCCAAUAAACGCCCGCGCGCGCGACAGGGCCUGUCGGGCGAGUGACAGCAGGCGGGUCAAACUGACGCUCCGAGGGGCCUCCAGUAUUCGCGCACAGAAGAAAGAAAAAAGCUACACGCACACACACGAAUAUUAUCCCACGAGCACUCGUGCAGUAAUAUCGAAACACAAAUCAGGUGAUUCGCGGUCUCGGUAAGAAUCCAAGAGCUCCAGCACAGUAUAGUAUAGUCACACGUAGUACAUACAUCACACGUGAACUCGCGUGUUACAGCGAAGCCCUCGUUAGAGAGAGUACCGUAUACACUCUAAUAGUAGCCGCGCUCGCAUUAGCAGCACGCCCUACUUUGAAGCCAAAAUAUAAUUUCUCGAGCAUGAGCCUGCUAUAAACCUGUUUUUCGUUGUUCGCACAAUUUAGGAUAAAUGGAACUCUGCAAGUUACUGUGUGACGCUGCACUUCUUCGCCCAUUGUGCCUCUAACCUGUAUUCCGCGGGGAAAGCGCGCAAAUAUUCAUUUAAAACAGCAAUACAACACCAGCGAGAGCUAACCAGUUUUGCUAUUACACAUGAUGGCCAAUGCGAGCUAUAGAUAUAUAAUACGUCUAAAUAUUGCAAGCACAUCUGUCCGACGCCUGCUUACGCCAGAACCACACGCACUACAAAUCUACUAAUGUAUUCCGAUCGCUAUCGAGCGCGGUGCGGCUCAUUUCGCCUAAUUACUCCCGGUUUCCUUUUUUUUUCGUUUUUUUUUUCUUCUUAUAUUAUCCCGUUCGUAUCAGCAGAAAGGAUCAGCGCAGCCUCAAAGCGCCUCACUAAUUGCCGGUGCUGCAGAGUCGCGCGAUUUUCAUUCACACGCAUUAUCGCGGGCACAUCGCUCAGACAAUCGCUCUCGACUCGUUCCAUGUACGCGUAACAAGAUAGCCGCUACCGCGAAUGACUAAAAUGCUGACCGCGCGCGCAUCGCUCAUUUCACUUGACUAAGCCGUAUACUACCCUAGCCUUAUCUCUAUAUAUUUUUUUUUAAUUUUCGCUCAGGAUAUAAAACUAUGCUGCGGACGUAGGAGAUGGAUAAAGUUGACACAUCCAGCAGCGCUUGUAAAUUAGUAUGUUGUAACAGCGUGUUCAACGAAAACCUGCUGAACACUUAAUCCAAUGAGCGACUACGUAUAUAUACCUCUAAUGAUAAAUCUUAUGAUAAAUCUUCCUAAUACGUAUAGAAGGUAACCAGACCGCAAAUCAAUGCAUGCCAUUCAAAAUGUAUGAAAGCCCACUUUAACGAUAAACAUGGACAAUAUACGCAUGGUGCGUCUCAAUGGAUAUGCAGCGAAACGGAACCUUUAUUAUUCCAUAUAUACCAGUGCAGUCGUCAACGACCUGCAGACUGUCGAAACAGUUCAGUCUGUCCACACAGCCGAUGGGGUAAACGAGAGAGGAAGCUGGGCUCGACCGACAAUAGUGCGCGGGUUCCUGCGCAUACAGAUGCUGCGGUGGCAAUUAUGUAGAACAUUCGCGAGUCAAGUUUGCCAGACAAAUAUACGAAAGAAUUAUAUUUGAAUGCAUUCCAGAAGGCAUUCCCCUCAUCCGAACGCGCCCACGGCUACAUGCAGAGUGCAACAGACUGCUAAAGCAGUUGGGCACUUUCAGAUGUGCACACAAUUAAUGCACCCCCUAGCUCGUCACGAAGCAGCUGCGCCUGUCACUGCGUGCCGCGUCGUGUUUGCGAACAGCUUUGCGGAUAAACAUGCCCUCUGGGGGCACACGUAAACGACGUACUGUUUGAUGCAAUUUGCAAUGUGAAUUACACCGAAUAGCUGGUCUAUCUGUCGGGUUCCAACGCACACUAAAGCAAUGGUAUACAACUGCCUCGACAGACGACGACUGCUUAUGCGCUAACACCGAUGUGGCGUACAUUGUGGCACUCUCUGUUUCAGAAACGCACUAAACCUGAAGGCUAACCAUUAAGUCUAAUAACCUCGAACCACUCUAAAGCACGUUCGAUGCCGGGAAGCUUACAUGAAGAUAAAAAAAGAGCAACAUUGAAUCAGCUUUGACUGGCGACGUAUCCUUUCAGUACUCUAUUGUCACUUAUUUGGCAGAAAAAGUUGGCCGACUUCCUGCGAAAAUGAAAGCUAACGUUUCGAACCUUUAUUGAAUUUCGCGCCAAAGCUGCAGUGCCGAUACGGUUCGACGUCACGGAUUUCCAUGUAUGCGUCGUUUGCGUUGGCGCCACUUUUCUGCGCACAUAAAUAAAUACCGAUCACACUCGCUGGUAUGAGUUUAUGAUUAUUUCCGAAUGCAAUAUGACCCUGAUAACUAUUAAGUAGUUGCGAAUAGGGGCUGUCAAAAUAACUUGAGAAGAUCUGGCAAGCGGAGUAAGUUGGCUUGAAAUCAUUGUAGCUUAUACCAGCGCCGACUGAACGCAGCACGCAAAAGAGAAAACAAACGGUACGAAAUCUAGACUACAAAUAGAAAUUCAGUCGGAAAGCGCACAGUCAUGCAUAUGAUAUCUUAGACGACAGGACACGAAAGGCGUACUAUACCUGAACAAAAGCGGCAAAGAGGAAAGACGGUUGGCGAGGCUGCCUUGAGGUUCCCGUACCAGCCUGCCGUGAGGUCAUGGGUUUUGACGGCGCCUGCUGCAGGGGCCCAUAUAUAGUUAAUUGUAUUAUCGGUAAAAAGGUCUACAUUAUGUUCUAAAGCAGCCAAAGAUUGAGCUUGGAAAGUUUAGGGAAAUUUUAGGUAACUGAGCCAACGCGGCUAAUACGCGAAAAUACUUUGAAAUCCGUGACGUCACACUGAAGCAACGGAGCUGAGGUUUCGGAGCGAAAUUCACGAAAUGUAUCUUUGACAUUCAUUUUCGCUUCUAGUUAUCAACCUGUCAUGGCGAAAAUGACAAAAAUAGACAUUUCGUAGACUACUUUAUCAAUUUUAAUUGAUUCGUCGUUAGUGCCUUCUUUCAAUAAUGGACGGAGUGCACUGGGCUCCACUCGGCGGAGUGUCCAGGCUCGUGUGCGAGGGCGAAUAUCUUUCCUCGAGUGAGGUCCUCCUCGUACCGACACUGCGAUAUACUUUCUAGUUAUCGCUUUCAUCGCACCGUGCUAUACUACGCCGCGCCACUAGUUUUCAACGAGUCACGCGAUAAGAGAACUUAACACACGGUGCAUAUAUAUACAAGCCCGCUGUCUUAAGCUAUAUAUACAGUCGCUUCUGAGAGGCACCUCUCUUUAUAUCUGCCUUUAAUUGCGACCAGUCCCGUCUCGCUGCUCCACAUAACUCGCCUUGAGAUAGGAUCGUGUUUGGCUUAACACCGCGUUUU
Molecule: long non-coding RNA, 6681 nt
Organism: Dermacentor silvarum
Lineage: Eukaryota; Metazoa; Arthropoda; Arachnida; Ixodida; Ixodidae
Exons: 2
Source: RefSeq, a predicted model, not a curated record